Molecule: ribosomal RNA, 456 nt
Filed under: uncultured Desulfobulbus sp.
Lineage: Bacteria; Pseudomonadati; Thermodesulfobacteriota; Desulfobulbia; Desulfobulbales; Desulfobulbaceae
Description: bacterial SSU rRNA
Rfam family: Bacterial small subunit ribosomal RNA
Source: RNAcentral
CGGUGGAGUAUGUGGUUUAAUUCGAUGCAACGCGAAGAACCUUACCUGGUCUUGACAUCCCGGAGACCCUUAGGAACUAGGGGUGCUUCCAUCUGGAAGAAUCUGGAGACAGGUGCUGCAUGGCUGUCGUCAGCUCGUGUCGUGAGAUGUUGGGUUAAGUCCCGCAACGAGCGCAACCCUUGCCUUUAGUUGCCAGCAGUUCGGCUGGGCACUCUAAAGGGACUGCCGGUGUUAAACCGGAGGAAGGUGGGGAUGACGUCAAGUCCUCAUGGCCUUUAUGACCAGGGCUACACACGUACUACAAUGGCCGAUACAAAGGGCAGCGACACUGCGAGGUGAAGCCAAUCCCGUAAAAUCGGUCUCAGUCCGGAUUGGAGUCUGCAACUCGACUCCAUGAAGUUGGAAUCGCUAGUAAUCGUGGAUCAGCAUGCCACGGUGAAUACGUUCCCGGGCCUU